AAGUCGUAACAAGGUCUCCGUAGGGGAACCUGCGGAGGGAUCAUUUCCAUUUAAAAACUUAAAAGAAAGGGGGUAACAGCCUUUUCUUUUUAGAAAAAGUUGGUUGUGUUCUUUAAAAAUUAAAAAAGUCCUUUCUUUUUUGAAAAGAAAAAAGAAGAGGGAAAUUUUAAGAAAUAUGGUUGUAGGAGUAUGGGUAUAUACUUGUAUUCAGAAACUACAACCAUUUUUUUUGAAAAACCCCUUUGAAUUUUUUCUUUCUUAAAAGUUGUGGGAUUUUUUUAAUCAAAAACUAGAAAGAAAAUAUCCUUAACCCAAUCUUGAUAAGAUAUCCUAAAAAAAAAGUUGAACAACUAUCAACGGCGGAUCUCUUGGUUCGU
This 377-nucleotide unclassified non-coding RNA is filed under the name fungal sp. Its description in RNAcentral is "partial internal transcribed spacer region". The stretch from base 1 to 46 matches the Rfam family "Eukaryotic small subunit ribosomal RNA", at positions 1786 to 1831 of the family's 1831-position model. The record is from RNAcentral. Lineage: Eukaryota; Fungi.